GUUUCCGUAGGUGAACCUGCGGAAGGAUCAU
This 31-nucleotide non-coding RNA is filed under the name Pichia membranifaciens. RNAcentral also lists the same sequence under 22 other names. Lineage: Eukaryota; Fungi; Ascomycota; Pichiomycetes; Pichiales; Pichiaceae. The record is from RNAcentral.